UUUUAAUUUAAUUUUAAAAUAAUUAAUUGUAUAACGAUAUUUUUAAAUAAAUAAAAACAGAACAAAAUCUAUUUACCAGCGCUAAAUCUUACAACGAAAAUUUAUGCGGAUAACCUCCAAAAGAAAAGAAUUUUGGUAAAGCUUUCAAAUUCCGAUGAGUAAUGGCCUUGAAUCUGAAUUUACCGAAUUUCUUCUUGUUUCUCCUUCUCGAGCAAGGUCGAGCCGAUGUGGUUGAUAAGGCCGGAAGAGACUAGUCAGACGUUGAAAACCAUAUCCUGAAGGAAGCCGAUGAGGUUUUGAGCGGUUUGGUUUCUGCGAUGAGGUCGUCUCUCUCGUUUCUCGCUUGAUUUUUGUGAUUUUACUUUGGAUUAUAUAUGUGAUUUGCUUAAAUUAGAGAGUUUUUUUGCUUAGAUUAUGCGGGCGGUGGGAGAAGACAUGGUUUGUGGGUCGAUGGGGAAAUUGGGAGAAGAGAAGGUUUAUAAUGGGAGAAAGUGAAGUUUGUGUUGGAGAGUAAAGCCAUGGCGGAGGAAAAUCUAGAGAAGUGGAGUUAUUCGGGAGAGAUGGAUCAAGCCAUGGGGGAACUACGUAGUUUCAUUUAGGAGUUUCUUCGAGGAUUAUUAAUUUAUUAUUCCUGUAUGCGUUAGGUGCUUUAAAUUACGUAAAUAGAAUUUAGGGUGAAGGAGGGUGUGACUUGGGAGACAUAUUGGUGCAGUAGUGGUUGUGAUUCUGCGAAGGUGACGUCUUCUUUCUUCUUACAAUGCCCAAACUAAUUGAAAGGGAGAAGAGGGGGCUGUUUUCCAGAAUUGUGCUGCGCUAAGGUAGGUGUAGUAGACGGCUACAAGUGUCAAGUGGCCAUUACAUUACAUUAUUAAGGUUUAAGCCCCACCUCCUUUCCCUUGGCUUCUUGUACGAAUCUAUGUAAAAAUAGGUAUCUUUCAUAUUACUGAUUUUUGUAUAAAACAAAAGCUAUGUGUUAUUACGAAAAGCAUAGGUAUUGAAUUAUAUGCUUGAGGAUCAACUUUUUAAAUUACAUUGUUUA
Molecule: long non-coding RNA, 1039 nt
Organism: Cucumis sativus (cucumber)
Lineage: Eukaryota; Viridiplantae; Streptophyta; Magnoliopsida; Cucurbitales; Cucurbitaceae
Exons: 3
Source: RefSeq, a predicted model, not a curated record